AGUGGUUCUACCUUCACAAACUACCAAACCACGACUACAGAAAUAAGUUCUGGCGACGUUUUCAGUCGGGCUUUGGAUCCAUAUCCACACUAUGUAGGAAAUAUUCCACGCCGCAUCAACUAUGAAUGUUGGCGAAAUUAUCAACACUGUUGGACAUGGUUUGAUUCUACUAAUGAUUUGUUGUUGUUCAAGUAUUGCUGCUGAUUACCAGCAUCGAAGAAAAAACAGAACUUGUAUUCCUGCCGAAGCUGAGCCAACACUCAACUCAAGUUCCUGUUUUCCUUUGGUGAAUUUCACUCGGCCUUUUUGUAAAAA
Molecule: long non-coding RNA, 315 nt
Organism: Dendronephthya gigantea
Lineage: Eukaryota; Metazoa; Cnidaria; Anthozoa; Malacalcyonacea; Nephtheidae
Exons: 3
Source: RefSeq, a predicted model, not a curated record